This is a non-coding RNA of Phascolarctos cinereus (koala), 2312 nucleotides long. Lineage: Eukaryota; Metazoa; Chordata; Mammalia; Diprotodontia; Phascolarctidae. The record is from RefSeq and is a predicted model, not a curated record.
GUGAUCUCUGGAGAGUCACAACCUCCCCGAGCGUCAGUUUCCUGAUCCGUAAAGUGAAUGGGAUUCAUCUAGAUGACCUCUGGGGACCCUUCCAGAUCCUUCUAAUCCCUGUGUAUACAUCUUCCCCAUGUGCUGCCUCUAAUUUUUUUUUUCUGGUCUGUAAACCACCAGCAUUUUUCCUUUCUGAUGAGGAGGCAGGUUCGCAUAACAAAUAAAGAUUCAAGUUAGCUCCUGACUGCCGUUUAGAGGCAUCUCCAGGUAGCAGUACUCCCAUACAUCUUUGGGUAGACCUUGAUAUUUUUCCUUGAUCUGCUGUCCCAAAUGACACAUGUUCAUGGAAUUUCUUUUUACGAUCAUUUGUUAUAUUUAGUAUGUUGCUAUUUGAGUCAUUAUGAUCCUUGCGUUUUGUUUUCUGGUGCUCAUAUUUUACUGAUGAUUCUUCAUUCUUCCGAGAGAUGGGCGCCUGCGUUCUCCCUUAACUCUCCACCCUAAAACCAGCUCUGAUCGCUUUGAAGUUGCAAGAAAGACUCAGGUGUUGGGCAGCAAAGCAAGUUGCAUGGUAGUGAAUUGGAAGAUGACAAAUGAUAAAUUAAGAAAAGACAGUGCUGCUCAAUUCUCAUUUUUCUUCUGUUUUUCCCCCCUACUCAGAAUCACCUAUGCACUGGAAGUGACAGAACAAAAAUGGCUGACAGGGAGUUGAUAGCCAAGGUAAAUGAGGACCUAGUGGGAGAUCACCUAGUUGCCCUUGAUGAAUUCAAGUGGAUGCACAGAUGAAGUACAUCCUCAGCUAUACCUUCCAGCUUUGAGUCACUGGGACAUUUGGUAAGCAAGCCUUGGGUGCCUUCAUCUAAAGUACUAAGCAAGGCAAGGCCAAGGACAGAGUCUUGUGGCAUGCUUCUAGAGAUCUCCCUCCAGGAUGACAUCUACCCUGUAACAACAACACUCUUGUCUUCAAGCACUUAAAAAUACAUCUUUAGAUGGAAAAGAACUCACAAAAGGAUAAAUUGUGAAAUUGCACAGUGAAAUGAAAGAAUUAAUUUUCUCAUGAUUUUGUUUGGGCUUCUCAGAACAUGUGAAUAAACCUCUUAUCUAUGAAUAACCAUGAUAUUUUAAAGUGGCAAAAUAUCAGCUUGAAAGUAAAUUGUGACUAAAGAUAUUUAAAGGAAACUAUUUUGGUAAACCCCUAAGAGUAUUCAGGGUAUUUGUCAAAUGCUACAAUAAUCCAUAUUUUUCCAUGUUUUACAUUUUAUUCUUCUGGUUAUACUAAGACUUUAUUUUUGACCUACAUGUGAAAUGGUAUAUGAUUUCAUUAAAUUGUCAGCAGUUAAAAGACUUCCUUUUAAGUCCCUUAACCACUGGAUAGCAUGGUAUUUUAAAAACUUCAACAGGUAUUCUUUUUCUCCAUUUUUCAUUGCUAAAGAAAUGACUUCACAAUCUCAAAUCAAAGUCCACACUGCAGUGAGGAGAGCUUUUCUACUUUAUUACAAAGAGAAGAAGCCUUUAUGUGGUCAGAAAAUACAAGAUUGAUCUUUUUUUUUCUCUUCCUAUGAAACGCUGCUGUUCAAACAGCCAGAGUGAAUUGUCUCAGUUCACUUCUUUAAGUCCCAUCACAUUCACUUGGGUAUGGAUGUCCUUGGCUGCUGAAAAUCUGGCCCUUUAGUGCACAGGGCGACAAAGGAGUCCCCUGACCAGCAGUUCCAGAAUGUCCCGUUUUCAUAUAUUGCAUCCAUGCACACCUCCUAAAAAUGAGGUACAGCAGGGCAAACAUUUUCCAAAAUAGAUGUCAUAUAUAUAAUAUAUACACAUUCGUACAUACAUACCUUUAUUCAUGUGAUGUCCAAAAAUUUAAAAAAAAUGUACACAUUUAUUACAAAAUCGUAACAAAGACUGGACAGUGUUUUGCUCAUUCUGGAAAGAUGAAGCUCAGUAAUAACACAACCCUAGAAACCAUCCAGAGGUUGUGGCCAUAUCGUUCUUCUAAACAGUCAGAUAUUCUUGCAUUUAAGCUUGGCGAAAAACUGCCUUUCAAAAACAGAAGGGAGAAGUAAAAUGAAGGAAGCAGACCUUGCUCAUCUUUCCAAAUGAAAUACGAGAAGGAUCUUCACAUAAAAAUGCACAAACAUUUUUUUUUAUUACCAAUAGUGCUACAAUGAACAAUGCAAAUUUUGUUGUCUAAUUUUUUGGGGUUUUUUGCUUUUUUUUUCCUGGGUUUUUUUUCCUUUUUUACAUUUUGGAAACUAUGUGGUAAACUUUGUCAGUGUACUUUUUUGUCAUUACAGAUCAAUGUCUGCUGUCCAAAAAAAAUGGAAAAA